UUUACUCCGGCAGUUCGGGUGUUUCAUCCGUAUGCUGAUCGACAAGACAGCUGCUACGACUGAAGCUGGUCCUAGGCCUAAGACUGCUUUGAGGUAUGAUGAAAGCAUCAAGAGAACAAGGUCAGCAGGAGUGGAUGUUUCCAGCCUAUGCUGGGACUGGGAGCACACAACAAUGUAGCAAUAACAACACAGGGCAGUGACAUGCACUUCACCAGUAGCACAGUACUAUACUACUAGUCAGCCAGAUUGAAGUCAGGGGUGAUGAAGACGAUGCUGCCUUUGGUGUGCUGGAACUGCGGUGAGGAGGAAACGCUGCCCAUACUGGCAGAGAAGACUCAGCUGCAUACCAGACAAUAAACCCUGUUUGUCAGGCCUGCAAAAAUGUGACAGGACGACAACUGCCGUUCCACCUG
Molecule: long non-coding RNA, 413 nt
Organism: Branchiostoma belcheri (Belcher's lancelet)
Lineage: Eukaryota; Metazoa; Chordata; Leptocardii; Amphioxiformes; Branchiostomatidae
Exons: 4
Source: RefSeq, a predicted model, not a curated record